UGAGGGAAUAUUGGGUCAAUGGGCGUGAGCCUGAACCAGCCAAGUAGCGUGAGGGAUGACAGCCCUAUGGGUUUUAAACCUCUUUUGUUCGGGAAUAAAGUCAGGUACGUGUACCUGUUUGUAUGUACCGUUCGAAUAAGCAUCGGCUAAUUCCGUGCCAGCAGCCGCGGUAAUACGGAAGAUGCGAGCGUUAUCCGGAUUUAUUGGGUUUAAAGGGAGCGUAGGCGGUCGGUUAAGUCUGCGGUAAAUGUCAUGGCCCAACCUUGGCCUGCCGUGGAUACUGUCCGACUUGAAUGUGCACAAGGAAGGUGGAAUUCGUCGUGUAGCGGUGAAAUACUUAGAUAUGACGAAGAACUCCGAUUGCGAAGGCAGCCUUCUGGAGCAUGAUUGACGCUGAGGCUCGAAAGUGCGGGUAUCAAACAGGAUUAGAUACCCUGGUAGU
Molecule: ribosomal RNA, 442 nt
Filed under: uncultured Paraprevotella sp.
Lineage: Bacteria; Pseudomonadati; Bacteroidota; Bacteroidia; Bacteroidales; Prevotellaceae
Description: bacterial SSU rRNA
Rfam family: Bacterial small subunit ribosomal RNA
Source: RNAcentral